This 433-nucleotide ribosomal RNA is filed under the name uncultured bacterium. RNAcentral describes it as "partial 16S ribosomal RNA". It matches the Rfam family "Bacterial small subunit ribosomal RNA", at positions 29 to 507 of the family's 1533-position model. The record is from RNAcentral.
AACGAACGCUGGCGGCAUGCCUAACACAUGCAAGUCGAACGAGACCUUCGGGUCUAGUGGCGCACGGGUGCGUAACGCGUGGGAACCUGCCCUUAGGUUCGGAAUAACUCCCCGAAAGGGGUGCUAAUACCGGAUAAUGUCUUCGGACCAAAGAUUUAUCGCCUUUGGAUGGGCCCGCGUUGGAUUAGCUAGUUGGUAGGGUAAAAGCCUACCAAGGCGACGAUCCAUAGCUGGUCUGAGAGGAUGAUCCGCCACACUGGGACUGCGACACGGACCAGAAUCCUACGGAAGGCAGCAGUGGGGAAUAUUGGACGAUGGGCGAAAGCCUGAUCCAGCCAUGCCGCGUGAGUGAUGAAGGCCUUAGGGUUGUAAAGCUCUUUUACCCGGGAUGAUAAUGACAGUACCGGGAGAAUAAGCUCCGGCUAACUACGUG